This 23-nucleotide non-coding RNA is filed under the name Arabidopsis thaliana (thale cress). The record is from RNAcentral. Lineage: Eukaryota; Viridiplantae; Streptophyta; Magnoliopsida; Brassicales; Brassicaceae.
GCCGGAGUUGGACGUCUGCCUCA